Molecule: long non-coding RNA, 226 nt
Filed under: Elaeis guineensis (African oil palm)
Lineage: Eukaryota; Viridiplantae; Streptophyta; Magnoliopsida; Arecales; Arecaceae
Description: long non-coding RNA (EGUI_LNC002191)
Source: RNAcentral
GUUGCUUCAGAUUGUUACAAAUCCAUCUGUGUAUUAGCCCCGUGGUCUACCACCCAAUCUGCAGCCAUGUUUGCAUUCACAGGAGUGGGAGGCAAAGAAUCUGGAAGCUAUGAGAAGGGACUCCAGAUGUCAAGUAGGAAGGCGUGAUAACUACCAGAAGCAUUGGGCAGGUUCUUAGCCUAUGCUUUUCUUUAUGGAGACAUCUUAGACUUGAAGAAUUGAGGGU